AUUGCUCUUUAUAGUCAUUUACGUUACAGUCCGUAUGGUUGAUACACUCAAACACUGCGAGCCUUCUUUGUCAGAAACUUCUCAGUUGUACUUACUCGACCUAGGGCCAAUACGACCGAUGCUAGGGAAAAUUCAAGGACAUCCCAGCAUUCCCCGGUCGCCGUUCAGUGAGAGAGUUCUUCUAAACAUGGCGGCCUGUCGUGCACGCGGCGCAUCGUUCCCCGCGUUUACGAACAUUUCAAAGUAGAUUAUACGGCAAUAUUCGUUAUCGCAGCCGAUCGACACACUUUUGCAGACGCCACAGAUACAGAGGAACAUUCGCGUUAGUUGGAACACCUCUGGCGCUUUGCUGACAUUUACCCAGGACACACAUUGUCGAUGCUGCUGCAAUUGAGGCCUUCACACAUGCGAGAUGAAGUGAGUUGGACAGACAUCAUCUGACGUAUCAUGUAUUCGUGUUAGCGUCGCGAAGGAACUGUGGCUAUGAGUGGCGUGCAGACGUGCACAGAUGGAGAGAGGACAGCAGGAAGGAGUAUAGGGC
Long non-coding RNA from Ornithodoros turicata, 541 nucleotides. RefSeq lists it as uncharacterized. Lineage: Eukaryota; Metazoa; Arthropoda; Arachnida; Ixodida; Argasidae. The transcript has 4 exons. The record is from RefSeq and is a predicted model, not a curated record.